Oryctolagus cuniculus (rabbit) is the source of this 1782-nucleotide long non-coding RNA. The record is from Ensembl. NCBI's taxonomy places the organism in Eukaryota, Metazoa, Chordata, Mammalia, Lagomorpha, Leporidae.
AUGGAAAACGUGUUUUAUAAAAGAGCUGCGCCCAGAUCUCAGAAAUGCUGGCACCAAACCAAACUGCUCACCCCGUUUCCCCAGGAGCUCCCCAGGGCGCCCUCAAAGGUCACCUCCUGGGGUCUGGGCGCGUCCAGGGCCAAGGCCAGUUGUCCAGGAUGCUCGCAAAGCCUGCAGGGACCCCAGUGCCCACCUGCAGCUUCUGCACACACAGCCCCCUUACGAACCACGAGAGCACGGGGGCUCCAUGCUCGGGCUCACCAGUCUGCCCCGUGGUCUCAGCAUCAUGGGGUCAGGACACAGGCACGGGGCCAUGGUUCCCUGCUUCUGCCUUCAUUCUGCAUUGCUAUUUAUCCAGGGAAACGGCACGAGGGGUCCAUCCAUUGUCCUGUGGUGCACACACUGUCCUGGGGUGCACACACUGUUCUGGGGGUGCACACACUGUCCUGGGGAUGCACACGCUGUCCUGGGGAUGCACACGCUGUACUGUGGUGCACACACUGUCCUGGGUGCACACGCUGUUCUGGGGGUCCACAUGCUGUCCUGGGGUGCACACGCUGUCCUAGGGAUGCACACACUGUCCUGUGGUGCACACACUGUCCUGGGUGUACACACUGUCCUGGGUGCACACGCUGUCCUGGGGGUGCACACGCUGUCCUGGGUGCACAUGCUGUCCUGGGGGUGCACACGCUUUGCCUUCAUUCUGCAUUGCUAUUUAUCCAGGGAAACGGCACGAGGGGUCCAUCCAUUGUCCUGUGGUGCACACACUGUCCUGGGGUGCACACACUGUUCUGGGGGUGCACACACUGUCCUGGGGAUGCACACGCUGUCCUGGGGAUGCACACGCUGUACUGUGGUGCACACACUGUCCUGGGUGCACACGCUGUUCUGGGGGUCCACAUGCUGUCCUGGGGUGCACACGCUGUCCUAGGGAUGCACACACUGUCCUGUGGUGCACACACUGUCCUGGGUGUACACACUGUCCUGGGUGCACACGCUGUCCUGGGGGUGCACACGCUGUCCUGGGUGCACAUGCUGUCCUGGGGGUGCACAUGCUGUCCUGGGGGUGCACAUGCUGUCCUGGGGCUGCACACAUUGUCCUGUGUUGCACUCGCUGUGCUGGGAGUAUACACACUGUCCUGGGGUGUACACACUGUCCUGGGGUGUACACGCUGUGCUGGGAUGCAAAUGCUGUCCUGUGGUGCACACGCUGUCCUGGGGUGUACACGCUGUCCUGUGGUGCACACACUGUCCUGGGUGCACACACUGUCCUGGGGUGUACACGCUGUCCUGUGGUGCACACGCUGUCCUGUGGUGCACACGCUGUCCUGGGGGUGCACACACUGUCCUGUGGUGCACACGCUCUCCUGGGUGCACACGCUCUCCUCGGUGCACACGCUGUCCUGGGUGCACACGCUGUCCUGUGCAUGGGCAGGCCAACUCUCCCAGAGGUGCAGUAGGUGCUGCAGGACUUUCCUUGUGCCUCUGGUUGCUGUCCUGUGCAGAGGCCCUGGGGCGGGGCUGGAGCAGGGAGCAGCAGGGGCCGGCCACUCUGCGUCGGCCGCUGUGGGGAUGGACGUUUACUCUGACAGAAGCAGCGACCCGGCUGGGAUCAUGCAGAACAGAGACGCAGUGCGGUGCGUGGCCUCUGGGGCUGCGGGAGCUGUGCUGAGCGGCCGGGCGCCGGGUGCAGGGCCCAGGCCACGGCCAGCACGGAGGCUCAGCAGCAGCAGGGCACGGCCGCCAGGUCCUCCAGCAGACACGGGGGAGCAGAGGUGGUGA